AUUGGGAGCAGAAUACAUCAGUGUAUUUUAAGAAAAAAAAACCACCUGAGCAAUUUUAUUGCCUGUUGGAUCUCUUAGACUAGUAAUUUUAUCAACAGGGUUUAAAAUCAAUUUAUGGUUGCAUGUAAAAUAAUGAUAUUAUCGAAUCUGGCCUUCCUUUCUAUUUAUCAGCAAACACCUUGUGCAUAUGAUCUGUCUUUUAUUUUUUGUUUAGUUAUUUGGUCUCUUAAUAUGGAGAAAUUCUGAUAACUUAGGUACCAUGAAUGAAAUUGUCUAUAACAUUCAUCUUUAUGCAGCUUUGCAACUCAGUAAUCAUUGGGAUUAAAAGAUGGGACUUCUUAAGUCAGAGGGCUUCUCU
Molecule: unclassified non-coding RNA, 358 nt
Filed under: Hevea brasiliensis (rubber tree)
Lineage: Eukaryota; Viridiplantae; Streptophyta; Magnoliopsida; Malpighiales; Euphorbiaceae
Source: RNAcentral